AACGCGAAGAACCUUACCUGGGCUCGAAAUGCAAUAGAUCGCUACAGAGAUGUAGCUUCCGCAAGGCUGUUAUAUAGGUGCUGCAUGGCUGUCGUCAGCUCGUGUCGUGAGAUGUUGGGUUAAGUCCCGCAACGAGCGCAACCCUUAUCUUCAGUUGCUACCAUUUAGUUGAGCACUCUGACGAAACCGCCUCGGAUAACGGGGAGGAAGGUGGGGAUGACGUCAAGUCCUCAUGGCCUUUAUGUCCAGGGCUACACACGUGCUACAAUGGCCGGUACAAACCGCUGCAAACCCGCGAGGGGGAGCUAAUCGGAAAAAGCCGGCCUCAGUUCGGAUUGGAGUCUGCAACUCGACUCCAUGAAGCUGGAAUCGCUAGUAAUCGUGGAUCAGCAUGCCACGGUGAAUACGUUCCCGGGCCUUGUACACACCGCGCAUA
RNAcentral lists this ribosomal RNA (436 nucleotides) under uncultured bacterium. Its description in RNAcentral is "bacterial SSU rRNA". It matches the Rfam family "Bacterial small subunit ribosomal RNA", at positions 958 to 1398 of the family's 1533-position model. The record is from RNAcentral.